GAUGAACGCUGGCGGCGUGCCUAAUACAUGCAAGUCGAGCGAACAGACGAGGAGCUUGCUCCUCUGACGUUAUCGGCGGACGGGUGAGUAACACGUGGAUAACCUACCUAUAAGACUGGGAUAACUUCGGGAAACCGGAGCUAAUACCGUAUAAUAUAUUGAACCGCAUGGUUCAAUAGUGAAAGACGGUUUUGCUAUCACCUAUAGAUGGAUCCGCGCCGCAUUAGCUAGUUGGUAUGGUAACGGCUUACCAAGGCGACGAUGAGUAGCCGACCUGAGAGGGUGAUCGCCAACACUGGAACUGAGACACGGUCCAGACUCCUACGGGAGGAAGCAGUAGGGAAUCUUCCGCAAUGGGCGAAAGCCUGACGGAGCAACGCCGCGUGAGGGAUGAAGGUCUUCGGAUCGUAAAACUCUGUUAUUAGGGAAGAACAAAUGUGUAAGUAACUAUGCACGUCUUGACGGUACCUAAUCAGAAAGCCACGGCUAACUACGUG
This 497-nucleotide ribosomal RNA is filed under the name uncultured bacterium. RNAcentral's name for it is "partial 16S ribosomal RNA". It matches the Rfam family "Bacterial small subunit ribosomal RNA", at positions 28 to 507 of the family's 1533-position model. The record is from RNAcentral.